AUGCCUAAGUCAGCUUUCUGGACAGCCAUAUUGAAGGUAAGACAUCUACUGAGCUCUGCAUCUUUUUAUCAACUUGUGGAUGGAAGCUCCUCCAUUUGGAGCUCUCCAUGGUUCUCUAAAUGGCAAGAUAUUUAUGACAAUUUGAAUAUUCAACAACCACCUUACUCCUAUCCAGCUGUGGUAAAAGAUCUGUGGUCCAAUAGUCAAAAGGUAUGGAACACCCAACUAGUUAAUAUCUUGUUUGCCCCUGAAACUGCGGCUGUAAUCUUGCAAACCCCUAUAGUUGAUUCUCUAGGCCAUGAUUUGCUUGUAUGGAAGCUAACCCCUGCAGGUGAAUUCUCAACCAAAAGUGCCUACAAGCAUUGUUACAAAAAUCUUGAGCUCCCUAUUAAUCAGAGACCUAAGCCAGUGCCACAACAGGUAAUCUCUCUUCUCAAUCAGGUUUGGGUAGAAAAAAUGAUGUUACCCAGGGUUCAAACUUUUGCUUGGAGACUACUUCGGCGAGCCCUAGCUACUGGGAAAAGAGCAGGUAAGUUUUCCAAACAUAUAAAAUCUGAAUGCUCCAGGUGUGGCAUGGAAGAAGAUGAAAUGCACAUGUUAUUCUUAUGUCACUUCUCCAAAGCGGCUUGGUUUUCACAUCCUUGGUACAUCAGAACUGAAAUGUUAGCUGCCACACAUCAAACUAUACCCGAUAUGAUACAGUUUUUGCUUUCUUCCAAUCACCCUCACAUUUCAACUAUUAAUCUCUAUACUUUUCUCUGGUGUUUAUGGAAAGUGAGAAAUGACUAUUUAUUUAAUCGCAAGAACAUUAAGCCAGAGCAAGUUUUUGUUGUGUACAAUGCUGUUAUGCUGGACACAGACAAUUCACUGAUGAAGGAGUUACAUGUACAUGAUUCAACUUGGAAGGGACAUCACGGUCAGCCAGAACAGCUAAAGCUUUCUACUGUUCUUACUUCUCAGUCUGCAAUAGAUUUUCCAGGUACACAAAUAUACUCAGAUGCAGCUUGGUCGUUGGAGCCAGGACAAAGGCGGGUAUAG
RNAcentral lists this ribosomal RNA (1038 nucleotides) under Triticum aestivum (bread wheat). RNAcentral's name for it is "partial small subunit ribosomal RNA". Lineage: Eukaryota; Viridiplantae; Streptophyta; Magnoliopsida; Poales; Poaceae. The record is from RNAcentral.